Molecule: ribosomal RNA, 550 nt
Filed under: uncultured bacterium
Lineage: Bacteria
Description: bacterial SSU rRNA
Rfam family: Bacterial small subunit ribosomal RNA
Source: RNAcentral
UAGGGAAUCUUCGGCAAUGGACGGAAGUCUGACCGAGCAACGCCGCGUGAGUGAAGAAGGUUUUCGGAUCGUAAAGCUCUGUUGUAAGAGAAGAACGAGUGUGAGAGUGGAAAGUCCACACUGUGACGGUAUCUUACCAGAAAGGGACGGCUAACUACGUGCCAGCAGCCGCGGUAAUACGUAGGUCCCGAGCGUUGUCCGGAUUUAUUGGGCGUAGAGCGAGCGCAGGCGGUUAGAUAAGUCUGAAGUUAAAGGCUGUGGCUUAACCAUAGUACGCUUUGGAAACUGUUUAACUUGAGUGCAAGAGGGGAGAGUGGAAUUCCAUGUGUAGCGGUGAAAUGCGUAGAUAUAUGGAGGAACACCGGUGGCGAAAGCGGCUCUCUGGCUUGUAACUGACGCUGAGGCUCGAAAGCGUGGGGAGCAAACAGGAUUAGAUACCCUGGUAGUCCACGCCGUAAACGAUGAGUGCUAGGUGUUAGACCCUUUCCGGGGUUUAGUGCCGCAGCUAACGCAUUAAGCACUCCGCCUGGGGAGUACGACCGCAAGGUUG